CUACGUGCCAGCAGCCGCGGUAAUACGUAGGGGGCAAGCGUUAUCCGGAUUCAUUGGGCGUAAAGCGCUCGUAGGCGGUCUGUUAGGUCGGGAGUUAAAUCCGGGGGCUCAACCCCCGUUCGCUCCCGAUACCGGCAGACUUGAGUUUGGUAGGGGAAGGUGGAAUUCCUAGUGUAGCGGUGGAAUGCGCAGAUAUUAGGAAGAACACCAGUGGCGAAGGCGGCCUUCUGGGCCAUAACUGACGCUGAGGAGCGAAAGCUAGGGGAGCAAACAGGAUUAGAUACCCUGGUAGUCCUAGCCGUAAACGAUGGACACUAGGUGUGGGGGAAUAUUUCUUCCGUGCCGCAGCUAACGCAUUAAGUGCCCCGCCUGGGGAGUACGGCCGCAAGGCUAAAACUCAAAGAAAUUGACGGGGGCCCGCACAAGCGGCGGAGCAUGCGGAUUAAUUCGAUGCAACGCGAAGAACCUUACCAAGGCUUGACAU
This 484-nucleotide ribosomal RNA is filed under the name uncultured bacterium. Its description in RNAcentral is "bacterial SSU rRNA". It matches the Rfam family "Bacterial small subunit ribosomal RNA", at positions 501 to 987 of the family's 1533-position model. The record is from RNAcentral.